AUUGAACGCUGGCGGCAGGCCUAACACAUGCAAGUCGAGCGGAUGAAGGGAGCUUGCUCCUGGCUUCAGCGGCGGACGGGUGAGUAAUGCCUAGGAAUCUGCCUGGCAGUGGGGGAUAACGUCCGGAAACGGGCGCUAAUACCGCAUACGUCCUGAGGGAGAAAGUGGGGGAUCUUCGGACCUCACGCUAUCAGAUGAGCCUAGGUCGGAUUAGCUAGUUGGUGGGGUAAAGGCCUACCAAGGCGACGAUCCGUAACUGGUCUGAGAGGAUGAUCAGUCACACUGGAACUGAGACACGGUCCAGACUCCUACGGGAGGCAGCAGUGGGGAAUAUUGGACAAUGGGCGAAAGCCUGAUCCAGACAUGCCGCGUGUGUGAAGAAGGUCUUCGGAUUGUAAAGCACUUUAAGUUGGGAGGAAGGGCAGUAAGUUAAUACCUUGCUGUUUUGACGUUACCAACAGAAUAAGCACCGGCUAACUUCGUG
This 484-nucleotide ribosomal RNA is filed under the name uncultured bacterium. RNAcentral describes it as "partial 16S ribosomal RNA". It matches the Rfam family "Bacterial small subunit ribosomal RNA", at positions 30 to 507 of the family's 1533-position model. The record is from RNAcentral.